AUUAGAAAUCUUCUAUUACAACAACUUGCAUAUCCAUUUAAUGGCUGAACAUGUGAGAAGCCAACUAAAAUAAGAAACCUCACUACUAUAUGUAUAUAAUAGAGCCUCCAUUUUUCAUAUAUACCAUAUCAAUAAGCAUGGGAGAGGUGAAGUUUAUGUCUAAUUGGAUAGAUGUUUGAAUGUGUGUUAGAAAGUUGUGCGUAUUCGUCGGAGAAGAGGCUUGGCGUUCCCAUGAGGAAGAUCAUUCCGGUGAUCGAUCUUGCCACGCACGACCGAGCCCGACUCGUUGAAAAAAUUCUCGACGCUUCUCAAGAGUUCGGAUUUUUUCAGGUAGUGAACGUGUUCCCAGUGCCUAGCUUAUAGCUACCAGUCUGCCACACAUCCCAAAAACCUCAGAUAACUCAACAGUUGUUAGGUUAGCUCGAUUGAAAUCACUUUCAUUUGAAGACACUUUCUUCUACAUUCAAAUGAAGAAAAAAAUAGAUAUUGUGAUAAAUUUAGGAAUUGUGAGAACAUAUACUAAAUUCUUACCAUCUCCUCAACAAGGUUAAGAGGAUAAUCUGUGAGGGGGUGUGACACUUCAUUUGAAGAUGGAAAGAUAAACGUUCUUGUUGAGAGAGAGUCUCAUACUUAAGAAGAACAAGGGAUUUUUGGGGCAAGGAGUAGAAUACUGAGCUUUACAGAGUUAUGAAGUCAAGGAAUUGAUGCUUUUUAGGAAGAGUGGGAUCCACAAACUCCUUGAGCCAAAUAAGGAGUGAAGUUCGCAACUCCUACUUCCUAACUCCUUAGGCCAAACAUACAGUAUCAAUAUUCACUAAGAUUCUCACACUUAGGGGGAACCUAUGUUUAUUUAAGAGAGAGUCUCACACUACUCUG
Non-coding RNA from Benincasa hispida (wax gourd), 876 nucleotides. The record is from RefSeq and is a predicted model, not a curated record. Lineage: Eukaryota; Viridiplantae; Streptophyta; Magnoliopsida; Cucurbitales; Cucurbitaceae.